This is a long non-coding RNA of Erinaceus europaeus (western European hedgehog), 1826 nucleotides long. RefSeq lists it as uncharacterized. Lineage: Eukaryota; Metazoa; Chordata; Mammalia; Eulipotyphla; Erinaceidae. The transcript has 2 exons. The record is from RefSeq and is a predicted model, not a curated record.
AAACUUUUUAAAGCACAGACUGAAUCUUUUUAACACAUAGGCUGAGUCUUUGAUAUGUUGACUCCCUUAAAAGCUUAGACCAGGGAGAACAGAAGCAACCAGUGGCACAACUAUAUACAAAUAAUGUCAAAGGACAUAAAUUAUGGUGAUGUUGUGUAUGAUACAGUAAAUCCUAACAGGGAUAUUUCAAAGUUAACCCAAUUACCAUAUAAUGUGAUUAUAGCAAUAACUAUCUAUUAUCUUCUUAAACCCUAAGACAACAGGAACCUCCCACUUCCUCUAUAGAGACUAUAUUUCCCCCAGUCCUGGAACCUUUAGUGUGGGACUCACUUUCCUGCAUGCUUCUCUCAGUUCAUACCAAAUGAUAUUGCAUCUGCCAGUCCCAACCUAAUCAAUGCUACGAGUACCACCUCAGCAUGCUUCACUUCAGACUGUGUCCAGAGACAUCAGGCGUCUAAUGACAACCCUUCACCCUCAUUACUCAGAGUUACAGAAAUGCAUGUUGGCACUUUGGAGAUACUAAAAGAACAUGCUGGGGAGUGUUUCUACCAGGCCCUAGCCUGAAGGCUUUGUUCACCUUGCCAGAGAACUGUGUGCCUCUUGUAGGACCUGCCAGAGGAAAUUGGAACUCCACGUGGAAGGAUCUCAGCUGUGAACCUUAGAAUGUCUGUGACCCUACACAAUAUAUAAAUUCUCAGGCCCCAUGUCUGACCUACUGAAUAUGAAAUUCUGGUGUGGGGAUCAGCACUUUGUUCUCACAAGUCCUUCUGUUGAAGCUUGACAACCUGAACCAGUGUUCAAAACUCAGAUGAUUAGAAAUCACCUGAGCAUUAAGUGCCUGAGAACAGAUGGUUUGCAUUGAGAAAACAUGCUUCACUGGAACUUUAGAAUAUAAUCUGACAAUACAGGAAGACCUAUGCUGAAGGGCUUCAGGAGCCUAAACAGGCUGGCUGAUGUGAGUUCAAAUGCUCAUUUAACUAGCUUACCCCUUGGUCUGUGGGUAAGUGAUAUAAACAUUUCCAAAAAUGCCCCAUUUUUACCAUAGGAAUCUUCUGUUCUGGAUGUUUGGCCUCCCAGAAAUGUAUGUGCUGAAUCCUUAACCCCCAGUAGGGUGAUAUUAAGAAGUGGUCUCUGGGGGGGGGGCAGUAGUGCAGCAGGUUAAGUGCACAUGGUGCAAGGACCAGCUAAGGAUCCAGUUCGAGCUCCUGGCUCCCCACCUGCAAGGGGGAUGCUUCAUGGGUGGUGAAGCAGGUCUGCAGGCAUAUUUCUUUCUCUCCCCCAACCUGUCUCUCCUCUUCUCUCAAUUUCUCUCUGUCCUAUCCAAUAACAACAAUGAUAAAUGACAAGGGCAAUAAAAGGGGAAAAAAUAGCCUAUAGGAGCAGUGGAUUUGUAGUGCAGGCAUGGAGCCCCAGCAAUAACCCUGGAGGCAAACAAAAAUAUGAAGCAGGUCUGCAAGUGUCUAUCUUUCUCUCCCCAUCUCCAUCUUCCCUUUUUCUCCCCAUUUCUCUCUGUCCUAUCCAACAAUGAUGACAUCAAUAACAACAAUAAUAACUACAAUAAAACAAGGGCAACAAAAGGGAAUAAAUAAAUAAAUAUAAAAAAUUUUAAAACGUCUCUGGGAUACGACUAGGUGAGAUCAUGAAGGCAGAGCUCCUGUGAUAGGAUUAGUGCCUCACUGAAGGAAGCCCUACUCUCUGCUCCCCAACCCCACUUCCACCCCAGCAAUGUCUCUAAGUGAGAAAGAGGGUCCUGACUGGUGCUGGUCCCUGGUGCUGGAUGCCAGUCUCUGGAAUGUUGAUAAAAUCAAGUCUUGUUGGUUAAGUCA